ACGGAGGGUGCAAGCGUUGCUCGGAAUUAUUGGGCGUAAAGGGCAGGUAGGUGGUCUCAUUUGUCUGGGGUGAAAUCCUUGAGCUUAACUCAAGAAGUGCCCCAGAAACGGUGAGACUUGAGUGCUGGAGAGGGUCGUGGAAUUCCCGGUGUAGCGGUGAAAUGCGUAGAGAUCGGGAGGAACACCAGAGGCGAAGGCGGCGACCUGGACAGUGACUGACACUCAACUGCGAAAGCGUGGGGAGCAAACAGGA
Molecule: ribosomal RNA, 253 nt
Filed under: uncultured prokaryote
Description: partial 16S ribosomal RNA
Rfam family: Bacterial small subunit ribosomal RNA
Source: RNAcentral